GUUUCUGUGUCCUGGCAACAUCUCAUACAAAGGCGGCUGAUAUGCCAUUUGUUUUCAGCGCUUAACUCGCCCAUUUGGAACUUCAGCUUCUGCCACAUUUCCACCUUGCCAACCCGGCUCAGACGGAAUGCCUAGGUCUUACCCCUAAGCAACGGGGGUGAGGCCCAGAAGACUGUGCUUCCACAUGCUUAGCAGGAGCAGACAAUAGGCUUUUUACAAACCGCCAUUGUGCACUGUGUCAGAGAGUGUCAGAAUGCACCUAUGUCAGAAAGGGCCCUUUGCUCUCAGCCGUGCCCUGCAUUGCUCUAGAGGUGGAAGGCACAAAGCACUGCCUCCAUCCUUCAAUGGGAGACAAGCCAUAAACUGUCUUGCCUCCAGCUCUUUAGGAAGAUGAGAAAGAACUCGCUUUCCACAGUGCUGUUACAGCAUACGAGGAAACACUCAUACAAAGGCAGCUCAAACGCCGUUUCUUCCCAGCGCUUAACUCGCCGCUUUAGGACUUCUGCUUCUGCCGCAGUUCUACCUUGCCAACCCGGCUCAGACGAAAUGCCUACAUCUUUCCCUUCAGCAAAGGGGACGAGGCCCAGAUGACUGUGCUUCCACAUGCUUAGCAGGAGCAGAAAAUAGGCUUUUUACAAACCGCCAUUGUGCACGGGUGCAGAGAGUGUCAGAAUGCACCUAUGUCAGAAAGGGCCAUUUGCUCUCAGACGUGCCCUCCAUUGCUGUAGAGGUGGAGGGCACAAAGCACUGCCUCCAUCCUUCAAUGGGAGACAAGCCAUAAACUGUCUUGCCUCCAGCUCUUUAGGAAGCUGAGAAAGAACUCGCUUUCCACAGUGCUGUUACAGCAUACGAGGAAACUCUCAUACAAAGGCAGCUCGAAUGCCAUUUCUUCUGAGCGCUUCUCUCGCCACUUUAGGACGUCUGCUUCUGCCGCAGUUCCACCUUGCCAACCCGGCUCAGAUGAAAUGCCUACAUCUUCCCCUUAAGCAACUGGGCUGACCCCCAAAUGAUUGAGCAUCCAUGUUCUUAGGAGGUGGUAUACUGCACGUCUUUUUCCAACCACCAUUGUGCACUGCUGGAGAGAGUGUCGGAAAGCAGCUAUGUCUGAAAGACCCCUUUGCCGUCAGCCGUGCCCUCCAUUGCUCUAGACGUGGAAUGCACAAUGCACUGGCUCCCCUCCUCAACGGGCGACAAGCCACAGGCCAUCAUCCUUCCAUCUCUUGAGGAAGCUGAGAAAGAACUCGCUUUCAACAGUGCUAUUUCUGUGUCCUGGCAACAUCUCAUACAAAGGCGGCUGAUAUGCCAUUUCUUUUCAGCGCUUAAGUCGCCAAUUUGGAACUUCUGCUUCUGCCAGAUUUCCACCUUGCCAACCCGGCUCAGACGAAAUGCCUACAUCUACCCCUUAAGCAAUGGGGGCGAGGCCCAGAUCACUGUGCUUCCACAUGCUUAGCAGGAGCAGACAAUAGGCUUUUUACAAACUGCCAUUGUGCACUGGGUCAGAGAGAGUCAGAAUGCACCUAUGUCAGAAAGGGCCCUUUGCUCGCAGCCGUGCCCUCCAUUGCUCUAGAGUUGGAAGGCACAAAGCACUGCCUCCAUCCUUUAAUGGGAGACAAGCCAUAAACUGUCUUGCCUCCACCUCUUUAGGAAGCUGACAAACAACUCGCUUGCCACAGUCCUGUUACAGCAGACCGGGAACUUCUCAUACAAAGGCAGCUCAAAUGGCAUUUCUUCCCAGCCCUUAACUCGCAGCUUUAGAACUUCUGCUUCUGCCGCAAUUCCAAGUGGCCAACCCAGCUCAGACGAAAUGCCUACAUCUUCCCCUUAAGCACCUGGGCUGAGUCACAAAGGAUUGUGCAACCAUGUGUUUAGCAGGAGAGAGACAAUAUGCUUUCCACCAACCACAGUAGACCACUGGUGGAGAGAGUGUCAGAAAACACCUAUGUCAGAAAGGCCCCUUUGCUCUCAGCCAUGCCCUCCAUUCCUCUAGAGGUGGAAGGCACAAGGCACUGGUUCUGGAUCCACCCCUCAAUGGGCGACAAACCACAUCUUGUCCUGCUUCCAGCUCUUUUUGAAGUGGAGAAAAAACUCCCUUUCCACAGUGCUCUUACAGCGUCCUGGGAACAUCUCAUACCAAGGAGGCUGAACGCCGUUUCUUUUCAGCACUUCACUCGCCAGUCUGGGACAUCUGCAUCCUGCACAUUUCCACCUUGCCAACCUGGCUCAGACGAAAUGCCUACAUCUUCCCCUUGAGCAAUGGGGAUGAGGCCCGGAUGAUUGUGGUUCCACAUGCUGAGGAGGAGAGAGACAAUAGGCUUUUUUUCUUUCUUUCUUUCUUUUUUUUUAUUUUUAUUUUUUAUUAUUUUUUUUAUUUUUUUUAUUAAUGUUAUGAUAGAUUACAAGCUUGUGAGAUUUCAGUUGUACAUUUUUAUUAGUCAUGUUGUGGGUAC
This 2447-nucleotide long non-coding RNA is filed under the name Equus caballus (horse). RNAcentral describes it as "lncRNA (ENSECAG00000046722.1)". Lineage: Eukaryota; Metazoa; Chordata; Mammalia; Perissodactyla; Equidae. The record is from RNAcentral.